Gymnodraco acuticeps is the source of this 297-nucleotide long non-coding RNA. RefSeq lists it as uncharacterized. Lineage: Eukaryota; Metazoa; Chordata; Actinopteri; Perciformes; Bathydraconidae. The transcript is spliced from 4 exons. The record is from RefSeq and is a predicted model, not a curated record.
GUUACACUGGAACAACCUCUUCAAGUGACGAGGACAGUGUGGUUGUUGCCAUCUGGAGACAGUCUUGCUGACACCGUGGUGUGGGACUUUCCAAAUGAACAGAGCACUCCCAGAAUGGACAACAGUUUGCCAGGAUCUCUCAGGCACCCACAACCAGCGUCUGAUCGGCAGAGAAUACCUGACUGCGCCAGACGUUGUUGCAGAACUCUCUGCAAAAAUAAAAAAUACCUCUUGCAGCAGGUUUAAUAUUAACCGAUCCAAUGUAUGGGAUGGAGCAAUCCGCGGCUUCAAACGGGC